This 459-nucleotide ribosomal RNA is filed under the name uncultured bacterium. RNAcentral's name for it is "partial 16S ribosomal RNA". It matches the Rfam family "Bacterial small subunit ribosomal RNA", at positions 338 to 795 of the family's 1533-position model. The record is from RNAcentral.
CCUACGGGAGGCUGCAGUGAGGAAUAUUGGUCAAUGGCCGGAAGGCUGAACCAGCCAAGCCGCGUGAGGGAGGAAGGCGCAGAGCGUCGCAGACCUCUUUUGCCGGGGGACAAAAGGCCGGACUCGUCCGGUCCUGAGGGUACCCGGAGAAAAAGCAUCGGCUAACUCCGUGCCAGCAGCCGCGGGAAUACGGAGGAGGGGAGCGUUAUCCGGAUUCAUGGGGUUAAAAGGGUGCGCAGGGGGGCCUUUAAGCCGGUGGUGAAAUCGCGGGGCUCAACCCCGCCGAGCCGUCGGAACUGGGGGCCUUGAGUGCGGCGGGGGGAUGCGGAAUGCGCGGUGUAGCGGUGAAAUGCAUAGAUAUCGCGCGGAACCCUGAUGGCGAAGGCAGCGUGCCGUGCCGCCACUGACGCUGAGGCACGAAAGCGCGGGGAUCGAACAGGAUUAGAUACCCUAGUAGUC